RNAcentral lists this ribosomal RNA (464 nucleotides) under Klebsiella pneumoniae. RNAcentral's name for it is "bacterial SSU rRNA". It matches the Rfam family "Bacterial small subunit ribosomal RNA", at positions 338 to 794 of the family's 1533-position model. The record is from RNAcentral. Lineage: Bacteria; Pseudomonadati; Pseudomonadota; Gammaproteobacteria; Enterobacterales; Enterobacteriaceae.
CCUACGGGCGGCUGCAGUAGGGAAUCUUCGGCAAUGGGGGGAACCCUGACCGAGCAACGCCGCGUGAGUGAAGAAGGUUUUCGGAUCGUAAAGCUCUGUUGUUAAGGAAGAACGAGUGUGAGAAUGGAAAGUUCAUGCUGUGACGGUACUUAACCAGAAAGGGACGGCUAACUACGUGCCAGCAGCCGCGGUAAUACGUAGGUCCCGAGCGUUGUCCGGAUUUAUUGGGCAUAAAGCGAGCGCAGGCGGUUAGAAAAGUCUGAAGUGAAAGGCAGUGGCUCAACCAUUGUAGGCUUUGGAAACUGUUUAACUUGAGUGCAGAAGGGGAGAGUGGAAUUCCAUGUGUAGCGGUGAAAUGCGUAGAUAUAUGGAGGAACACCGGUGGCGAAAGCGGCUCUCUGGUCUGUAACUGACGCUGAGGCUCGAAAGCGUGGGGAGCGAACAGGAUUAGAUACCCGGGUAGU